This 253-nucleotide ribosomal RNA is filed under the name uncultured bacterium. RNAcentral describes it as "partial 16S ribosomal RNA". It matches the Rfam family "Bacterial small subunit ribosomal RNA", at positions 524 to 776 of the family's 1533-position model. The record is from RNAcentral.
GACGGAGGAUGCAAGUGUUAUCCGGAAUCACUGGGCGUAAAGCGUCUGUAGGUGGUUUAAAAAGUCCACUGUUAAAGAUUGAAGCUUAACUUCAAAAAUGCCGUGGAAACUUUUAAACUUGAGUAUGAUAGGGGUAGAGGGAAUUUCCAGUGGAGCGGUGAAAUGCGUAGAUAUUGGAAAGACCACCAAUGGCGAAGGCACUCUACUGGGCCAUUACUGACGCUGAUGCUCGAAAGCGUGGGGAGCAAACAGG